RNAcentral lists this ribosomal RNA (455 nucleotides) under uncultured Tepidiphilus sp. RNAcentral describes it as "bacterial SSU rRNA". It matches the Rfam family "Bacterial small subunit ribosomal RNA", at positions 923 to 1382 of the family's 1533-position model. Lineage: Bacteria; Pseudomonadati; Pseudomonadota; Hydrogenophilia; Hydrogenophilales; Hydrogenophilaceae. The record is from RNAcentral.
GCACAAGCGGUGGAUGAUGUGGAUUAAUUCGAUGCAACGCGAAGAACCUUACUACCCUUGACAUGUCCGGAACUUGCCAGAGAUGGCUUGGUGCCCGAAAGGGAAUCGGAACACAGGUGCUGCAUGGCUGUCGUCAGCUCGUGUCGUGAGAUGUUGGGUUAAGUCCCGCAACGAGCGCAACCCUUAUCAUUAGUUGCUACGCAAGGGCACUCUAAUGAGACUGCCGGUGACAAACCCGGAGGAAGGUGGGGAUGACGUCAAGUCCUCAUGGCCCUUAUGGGUAGGGCUUCACACGUCAUACAAUGGUCGGUACAGAGGGUUGCCAAGCCGCGAGGCGGAGCAAAUCUUUAAACCUAUUCUCAGUUCGGAUUGGAGUCUGCAACUCGACUCCAUGAAGCUGGAAUCGCUAGUAAUCGCGGAUCAGCCAUGCCGCGGUGAAUACGUUCCCGGGUCUU